Molecule: non-coding RNA, 4327 nt
Organism: Xyrichtys novacula (pearly razorfish)
Lineage: Eukaryota; Metazoa; Chordata; Actinopteri; Labriformes; Labridae
Source: the annotation of a GenBank genome assembly
UUCGUAAUUUUGCAUCGUAAUUUGGCGUCGUGUAUUUGCGUCGUUCCUGGUGUGUAAAGACCUUAAAGCUGUAACAUGCAAAGAGAUUAAGACAAUCUAGACACCCUUGCUUUCUUCUUAAACAAUUCACACAUUGUAUCUUGAAAAAUCUUGAAAAAUCUUGCCUGUGCGUGGAGUGAAAAUAUAUAUAAAAAUGUACACGUUUUAGAUCAUAGAUAUCACAGGUUUUCAGUUGUACCCAAGGUGUUGCAACAAGACAAGCUGUGCACCGAAGUUGCCGCAUGGCCUGAAGCUGUCCAUUCAACGGCUAAGCCACCUGCUUAUGCAUAUAAUAGCUCUAACUACUGUCAUUACAUGCUCCUCUGUGAGAGUCAAGAUGAGUCACAGGUGUUCAGAGAUGUUUGCUAAGGAUGCUCUGCCUUUUCUUAAGAAAUGCCCCCUGAAAAAUUAACUUCAGGUGACGGGGAGAUGUGGGUUUUUUUUUUUUUUUGUGCUUUUAACAGCCCCUUGCUGUGUUUGUCUGUGUAGGCGUGCACACACAUGCACACAAUUGAUGCGUAGGGGUGUGGAGUGGUCAACUGAUGAGGCACUGUGGAGGCUGAGAGCUCUGGAGAGUGCUGUGUGGGUUGGGAGCCUCUUCUUCUCCUCGCUGUAAAACACACACACACACACGCACAAACACACAUGCACGCACGGAAAGCUGGGGGAGGUGGAGGCAGCAGCGCUCGCUUUCACCGGCUGCCCAUUGAUCAGAGGAGAGGUUGGUAGACUUAAAAGAUCAGUGUAGGGACUGGUGGAGAGCAGAGAGAGGGAUGGAGAUGAGGAUACCUGUAGGAUAGAGAGGAAGAGAGAGCUAGAGAAAGUGAGAGGAGAAAAAGAGGCGAGGGUGAAAUAAAGAGGCAGAUCACGGCAUGUCUGGGGUUGCCCUGGCUUUUAACAGUCUGGAGGAAGCCUGCUGGUAAGCGCUUCAUGUUUUCUGUGUUCUUACUACGUGCCUUGUAUGUGCACAUAGCCUGACGCUUCUGUGCCCAUUUGUAUGCCUGUCCUGGUCUCGUGCUGCCCAUGCUUUGGUGUUUUUCGAGCCACUGCAGAGCUAGGGGGAUACCGGGCGUUUGUCUCCACAGUGCAGCAGCAGCAGCAGCAGCAGCACAAAUCUUCUAGGCUUCCCGUCCACUGCAGACAAAACCAUUCAGUCUGUUAUCUGUUCAAUUAAAAACAGCAGCGCGCUCUGGACUGCUGCUUCUGCUGCUGCUGCUGCUGCUGCAGGAUUCAUUCAGACUGUUCCAGUGUGUGUUUUUGAGAAGGUGUCAGGGUGGGAAAAAAAAAUCACACACAGACUUUGCUUUGCAUUUUCAAGUUGUCGCCUGGGAGGAAAAAAGAGGAGACAUACACCACAGAUGAUGCUUGUGCAUGCGUGAGAGUGAGUGUGUGUGUGCGCGUGUUUGAGCGUGAUUUGGCGUUUUCUAUGAAUGUCAGCUUAGUGUGAUGUUGUAGGAGGGAUUGACAGACUGAGUGGAGGCUUUGCGUUGUUCCAUCACAUGCAUACAUGCUGAAUAAACCCCCCCAUAUGGGACAUUAACGCCUUUAUUUCGCUUGUGCUGCAGGCUAUUCUGAAAACGCAAAAACAGGAUGAUUCCAAAGUAAAUCACAAAACACAGACUUUGUGCCUUUUUUUUAAAUAAUGACAAUAUUUCUAAGGGUUUGCUCUUUCUAACGAAGGUUGCACCGUUUAAUAUUGAGCAUAAAAUAGGUGCUGCUGCAGUCGGUGAUGAUGCAGUCUGUUGUUAAGGUGAAGCACCAAACCACAAGAUGACCCUCCAAAACCACCAUUCAGAACCUCAUUUAGGAUUUUGCCUGUUUUUUUUUUUUAAUUCUGCUUAUUUUGUUGCCAUUUUUUUUCCACCAAUAAAACAAAGGCGCUCGCUUGUGCAGUUUGAAGAUUCGAAACGAUAAACAAGCAAAAUUCAGGGCGUGAUUAUUCCUGAUUUGUGGACACAUGUGCAACAAGAAAAACCAUACGCAGCGGUGGGGAAAUGCAGCACUCAUGCAAGAAUUUCAAUAUGCUUUCAGGAUAAUUGUCAGUGGUUAUAAGAGAAGGGUGACACUAAAAGCACCACUCAUGCAACUGAUUUUGUGAGAUUUAAAGCUGCUUUUAGGAGGAUGUCAAAUGAUCCAAAGGAAGGGUGGUAUUUUAAAAAGUGUGCAUAAACAUGCAAAGGUGGGAUUCAGCACUUUAUGGGGGUAAAAAGGAGGGGAAACACUGCAAAUCAUCUUUCAGAUCAAUCCCCUUCUUUGCGCCUGGAUAUUAGAAGAUCCAGCUUUAACAACAACCUCUUAGACGCACGGAUUGGAUCUUUAAUGAGCUGACACUCAUUUCACGCAACAUUUCCUCUCAGCUCCUCUUCAUCACUUUCGACCACAUUCACUUGUAGCUCCCUCUGAGGUCCCCGCACCCCCCAGUUUGUGCAGCCAGCAGCUUCAAGCAUCCCCCCCUCCUCUUUUAUGAUAUGGAAGCAACACGCGUUGACGUGUCGCGCUGCGCUUCCGACCUCUAGUAUCGGUAUGCGUCCUGUGCGCACACACACACACGGGCAGAGCAGAGCACAGAUCAGCGCUCUCAUGGGGGACUUGCGGCCAGCAGACGCAGCCACGGUAAGUGGAGACACUUUUCAUACGGCGUUUUAUCUCUCAGGAGAGGAGAAGGCAAGUUUCCCCCAGCUCUGGAGAGUGGUUGUUGUAGUUGCUCGUGUUGGAAAAGGGAAGUUUGACAGAGUUUUUUCGGCAACAUUCCGGAGCUUGUCUGUGCAGAUUGCGCAACGCGGCGUGUGAUCGCUCAGAAAAACGUCAAAACAAUCCGGUAUUUCGCUUAUUACCCAACAUUCAGGUCGAUACUAAUCGCUGUCUUUGACGAAAAUCGGUCUCAUCACCUCAUUUGAGCUUUCCUUUGGCCAUGCGGGGCUCAUCCACGGAGCACACUUCAGCUCCUUCGCUUGGUUUCAAAGAUUUUCACGCAGCAAACUGCCUUUUCUCCAAACCUAAACGCUCAUCUAGAGCGCUGUCGAGCUUCCCCUCGUCUUUUUCUUUUUCUUCACUUUCAUGCUUUUUCGCUACUUUAAGGGCAAAGUGUGCUGCCUGGUCCCGUGAAUGUGAGGGGGGGCAAUGCGCAAAGUGUGUGGUCUCCAAGCUCUCCACCCCCGCAGAGACGCACGACUUGCGCGCACACACACACUCAUAGAGGAAUCGCGCACACGCACACAUACACAUUCUCUCACAGCUCCGUGUGUCUGUCACGCUCGGGCAUGGAUGUCUCUGGGUCUUAGGAAUGCGCCCGGCGUUUUCUCUGUAUUUUUCACAUUAGGAGCAGUUUGGGAACCGCUCUCAAAGCCGCUCUCUGAACCGCUGCCACCAGAGGCAAGCAAGCGGGAGGAAAACUUGCACUUCCGGUUACGUAUUUCACAAUAAAAGUCAACUUAUUGCAACAGUUAAAGGAGAAAAGUCAUCUUUGGCACAAAAACGAGAUCAAAAAUUUUCUCCUGAUAAAACUACGUUUCAUAUAUUUGGUUGUUUUCUCAUAGUAAUCAAUUUUGUCAAUCAACAAGUGGAUGAAACAUGGAUAUAGUCUUGGGAACAUCAUGCAUUCGUUUUUAAAGAGACAGUAGAGGUCUGGUCCAAGUGGUUGCCCUCAGAAAGAUGGCGUCCACCUUACUUUUGGUUGACCUAACAUGAGGCGGAGAGUUAUCAGACUUCAGCUUACAAUCUGCACACCUAUCAGUCAAACCAGCUACACCUUAAGAGACACCUAGCUACUUAUGCAAAAAUUGUAACCCAGCACCUCAAACGUCCCUACACACCGGGAGCGUUUUUUUCAUGCUAUUAUUUUGGACGUCAAUAUUUUUUUUCAAACUCGCAUCCUGUCAAUACAAGCGUUCACAUCAGCGAUGUUUCCUGUCCUGUGAUAUUCUGGUAUUAUUUUGGAUCAUGGUCGAUUUUUUCUUAAGUUUCGCACACUGUGUGUCCACUUCUGACCAAUCAGAUUUCAUGUUGUUGCAACGUCUGAUUCACCAGUAUAUCCAACAUGGCCGACCUGCUAAUUGUUUACGUGUCGGAGAACAGAGUGCUUUUGGAUAAAAGACACAAACUUUACAAAGAUAAUGACCUGAAGGACAACUUGUGGAGAGUCAUAGCGUCAGAUUUCUCAUAUGACGAUGAUAUGACGACAGUUUGCUAAAUGUCUUUGUUUUAACUUUCAUCUGUGCUAACAUAACUUUAGCUCGUAAGCUAACCUGUUCAGAUACAACAUACCAUAUGUAUUUUCACUGUCUCAAAC